GGUCAAGCGAACAAGUGCAUGUGGUGGAUGCCUUGGCGAUCACAGGCGAUGAAGGACGCGGUAGCCUGCGAAAAGCUUCGGGGAGCUGGCAAACAAGCUUUGAUCCGGAGAUGUCCGAAUGGGGAAACCCGGCCCUUAUGGGUCAUCCCUGACUGAAUACAUAGGUCAGGGAAGCGAACGCGGCGAACUGAAACAUCUAAGUAGCUGCAGGAACAGAAAUCAACCGAGAUUCCCAGAGUAGUGGCGAACGAAAUGGGAAGAGCCUUGUACUCUUUAGCAGCAUUGUUAGCAGAACGGAAUGGAAAGCCCGGCCAUAGCAGGUGAUAGCCCUGUAUGCGAAAACAGCGUUGUGGAACUAGGUGUACGACAAGUAGGGCGGGACACGUGAAAUCCUGUCUGAAGAUGGGGGGACCAUCCUCCAAGGCUAAAUACUCGUGAUCGACCGAUAGUGAACCAGUACCGUGAGGGAAAGGCGAAAAGAACCCCGGGAGGGGAGUGAAAUAGAUCCUGAAACCGCAUGCAUACAAACAGUCGGAGCCUGGAAACGGGUGACGGCGUACCUUUUGUAUAAUGGGUCAGCGACUUACAUCCAGUGGCAAGCUUAACCGAUUAGGGAAGGCGUAGCGAAAGCGAGUCCGAAUAGGGCGUUCAGUCGCUGGGUGUAGACCCGAAACCAGACGAUCUAUCCAUGGCCAGGUUGAAGGUGCGGUAACACGUACUGGAGGACCGAACCCACUAACGUUGAAAAGUUAGGGGAUGAGCUGUGGAUAGGGGUGAAAGGCUAAACAAGUCUGGAAAUAGCUGGUUCUCUCCGAAAACUAUUUAGGUAGUGCCUCGUGUCUCACCUUCGGGGGUAGAGCACUGUCAUGGUUGGGGGGUCUAUUGCUGAUUACCCCGCCAUAGCAAACUCCGAAUACCGAAGAGUGCAAUCACGGGAGACAGACAUCGGGUGCUAACGUCCGGUGUCAAGAGGGAAACAACCCAGACCGCCAGCUAAGGUCCCUAAGAUUGGCUAAGUGGGAAACGAAGUGGGAAGGCUAAAACAGUCAGGAGGUUGGCUUAGAAGCAGCCAUCCUUUAAAGAAAGCGUAAUAGCUCACUGAUCGAGUCGUCCUGCGCGGAAGAUGUAACGGGGCUAAGCCAGUCACCGAAGCUGCGGAUGCACGUAAGUGCAUGGUAGGAGAGCGUUCUGUAAGCCUGUGAAGGUGUCUUGUAAAGGAUGCUGGAGGUAUCAGAAGUGCGAAUGCUGACAUGAGUAGCGAUAAAGGGGGUGAAAAGCCCCCUCGCCGUAAGCCCAAGGUUUCCUACGCAACGUUCAUCGGCGUAGGGUGAGUCGGCCCCUAAGGCGAGGCAGAGAUGCGUAGCUGAUGGGAAGCAGGUUAAUAUUCCUGCACCGUCGUAUGAUGCGAUGGGGGGACGGAUCGCGGAAGGUUGUCCGGGUGUUGGAAGUCCCGGUCCCUGCAUUGGAGAAGGCGCUUAGGCAAAUCCGGGCGCGGAAUUCAAGGAUGUGGGGCGAGCGGCCUAGUGCUGCGAAGCAAUUGGAAGUGGUUCCAAGAAAAGCCUCUAAGCUUCAGUCAUACGAGACCGUACCGCAAACCGACACAGGUGGGCGAGAUGAGUAUUCUAAGGCGCUUGAGAGAACUCGGGAGAAGGAACUCGGCAAAUUGGUACCGUAACUUCGGGAUAAGGUACGCCCUUGUAGCUUGACUGGCCUGCGCCAGGAGGGUGAAGGGGUUGCAAUAAAAUGGUGGCUGCGACUGUUUAAUAAAAACACAGCACUCUGCAAACACGAAAGUGGACGUAUAGGGUGUGACGCCUGCCCGGUGCCGGAAGAUUAAAUGAUGGGGUGCAAGCUCUUGAUUGAAGUCCCGGUAAACGGCGGCCGUAACUAUAACGGUCCUAAGGUAGCGAAAUUCCUUGUCGGGUAAGUUCCGACCUGCACGAAUGGCGUAACGAUGGCCACACUGUCUCCUCCCGAGACUCAGCGAAGUUGAAGUGUUUGUGAUGAUGCAAUCUCCCCGCGGCUAGACGGAAAGACCCCAUGAACCUUUACUGUAGCUUUGCAUUGGACUUUGAACCGAUCUGUGUAGGAUAGGUGGGAGGCUUUGAAGCGUGGACGCUAGUCUGCGUGGAGCCGUCCUUGAAAUACCACCCUGGUUUGUUUGAGGUUCUAACCUUGGUCCGUGAAUCCGGAUCGGGGACAGUGCAUGGUAGGCAGUUUGACUGGGGCGGUCUCCUCCCAAAGUGUAACGGAGGAGUUCGAAGGUACGCUUGGUACGGUCGGACAUCGUACCUAAAGUGCAAUGGCAAAAGCGUGCUUAACUGCGAGACCGACAAGUCGAGCAGGUGCGAAAGCAGGACAUAGUGAUCCGGUGGUUCUGAAUGGAAGGGCCAUCGCUCAACGGAUAAAAGGUACUCUGGGGAUAACAGGCUGAUACCGCCCAAGAGUUCAUAUCGACGGCGGUGUUUGGCACCUCGAUGUCGGCUCAUCUCAUCCUGGGGCUGUAGCCGGUCCCAAGGGUAUGGCUGUUCGCCAUUUAAAGAGGUACGUGAGCUGGGUUUAAAACGUCGUGAGACAGUUUGGUCCCUAUCUGCCGUGGGCGUUGGAAUCUUGACGGGGGCUGCUCCUAGUACGAGAGGACCGGAGUGGACGUACCGCUGGUGUACCUGUUGUCUCGCCAGAGGCAUCGCAGGGUAGCUAUGUACGGAAGAGAUAACCGCUGAAAGCAUCUAAGCGGGAAACUCGCCUGAAGAUGAGGAUUCCCUGGAGCCUUGAGCUCCUUGAAGGGUCGUUCGAGACCAGGACGUUGAUAGGCUGGGUGUGGAAGCGCAGUAAUGCGUUAAGCUAACCAGUACUAAUUGCCCGUAAGGCUUGAUCCUAUAACCAGUGUGUUUCUACC
RNAcentral lists this ribosomal RNA (2899 nucleotides) under Cupriavidus basilensis. RNAcentral's name for it is "LSU rRNA". It matches the Rfam family "Bacterial large subunit ribosomal RNA". Lineage: Bacteria; Pseudomonadati; Pseudomonadota; Betaproteobacteria; Burkholderiales; Burkholderiaceae. The record is from RNAcentral.